This 507-nucleotide ribosomal RNA is filed under the name uncultured bacterium. Its description in RNAcentral is "partial 16S ribosomal RNA". It matches the Rfam family "Bacterial small subunit ribosomal RNA", at positions 28 to 507 of the family's 1533-position model. The record is from RNAcentral.
GACGAACGCUGGCGGCGUGCUUAACACAUGCAAGUCGAACGGGCCUUGUCCCCUUUUUUUUGGGGGUGGGGUUAGUGGCGAACGGGUGAGUAACACGAGAGUAACCUGCCCCUCACUUCUGGAUAACCGCUUGAAAGGGUGGCUAAUACGGGGUGUUCUGGCCUGCUCGCAUGGGUGGGUUUGGAAAGAUUCGACCGGUUUUGGUUGUUUUGGUGGGGGAUGGGCUCGCGGCCUAUCAGCUUGUUGGUGGGGUGAUGGCCUGCCAAGGCUUUGACGGGUAGCCGGCCUGAGAGGGUGGGCGGUCACACUGGGACUGAGACACGGCCCAGACUCCUACGGGAGGCAGCAGUGGGGAAUAUUGCACAAUGGGCGCAAGCCUGAUGCAGCGACGCCGCGUGAGGGAUGGAGGCCUUCGGGUUGUGAACCUCUUUCGCCAGUGAAGAAGGUCCUGCUCUUUGUGGUGGGGUUGACGGUAGCUGGGUUAAUGAAGCGCCGGCUAACUACGUG